Molecule: ribosomal RNA, 497 nt
Filed under: uncultured bacterium
Lineage: Bacteria
Description: partial 16S ribosomal RNA
Rfam family: Bacterial small subunit ribosomal RNA
Source: RNAcentral
GACGAACGCUGGCGGCGUGCCUAAUACAUGCAAGUAGAACGCUGAAGAGAGGAGCUUGCUCUUCUUGGAUGAGUUGCGAACGGGUGAGUAACGCGUAGGUAACCUGCCUGGUAGCGGGGGAUAACUAUUGGAAACGAUAGCUAAUACCGCAUAAAAUUGAUUAUUGCAUGAUAAUUAAUUGAAAGAUGCAACUGCAUCACUACCAGAUGGACCUGCGUUGUAUUAGCUAGUUGGUGAGGUAACGGCUCACCAAGGCGACGAUACAUAGCCGACCUGAGAGGGUGAUCGGCCACACUGGGACGGAGACACGGCCCAGACUCCUACGGGAGGCAGCAGUAGGGAAUCUUCGGCAAUGGGGGGAACCCUGACCGAGCAACGCCGCGUGAGUGAAGAAGGGUUUCGGAUCGUAAAGCUCUGUUGUAAGAGAAGAACGGGUGUGAGAGUGGAAAGUUCACACUGUGACGGUAUCUUACCAGAAAGGGACGGCUAACUACGUG